AGGCUACCGCUAUUGGAGUUCGAUUAAGCCAUGCGAGUCUAGAGGCCUAGCCUCGGCGUACCGCUCAGUAACACGUGGGUAACCUACCCUAUGCUGGGGAAUAAGCUCGGGAAACUGAGAAUAAUGCCCCAUAGUCCACUACGCCUGAACGGUGAGUGGAUCAAAGCUCCGGCGGCAUAGGAUGGGCCUGCGGCGUAUCAGGUUGUAGGGGUGUAAUGUACCCUCUAGCCAUCCACGCGUACGGGUGUUGGGAGACAUUGCCCGGAGAUGGAUUCUGAGACACGAAUCCAGACCCUACGGGGUGCAGCAGGCGCGAAAACUUGGCAAUGCGAGAAAUCGUGACCAGGGAACUCCAAGUGGCAGGGGUAAGACCCUGUCUUUUUCCGACUCUAAAUAGGUCGGCGAAUAAGGGGUGGGUAAGGACGGUGCCAGCCGCCGCGGUAAUACCGGCGCCUCAAGUGGUAGUCGCUUUUAUUGGGCCUAAAACGUCCGUAGCCGGUCUGGUACAUUCGUGGGUAAAUCAACUCGCUCAACGAGUUGAAUUCUGCGAGGACGGCCAGACUUGGGACCGGGAGAGGUGUGGGGUACUCUCAGGGUAGGGGUAAAAUCCUGUCAUCCUGAGAGGACCACCUGUUGCGAAGGCUCCACACUAGAACGGAUCCGACGGUCAGGGACGAAGCCUAGGGGCACGAACCGGAUUAGAUACCCGGGUAGUCCUAGGUGUAAACGCUGUGGACUUGAUGUUGGGGACGCUCCGAGCGUUCUCAGUGUCGAAGCGAAGGUGAUAAGUCCACUGCCUGGGGAGUACGGUCGCAAGGCUGAAACUUAAAGGAAUUGGCGGGGGAGCACCGCAACCUGAGGAUUGUGCGGUUU
RNAcentral lists this ribosomal RNA (873 nucleotides) under uncultured euryarchaeote. RNAcentral describes it as "bacterial SSU rRNA". It matches the Rfam family "Archaeal small subunit ribosomal RNA", at positions 21 to 903 of the family's 1478-position model. The record is from RNAcentral. Lineage: Archaea; Methanobacteriati; Methanobacteriota.